Molecule: ribosomal RNA, 253 nt
Filed under: uncultured bacterium
Lineage: Bacteria
Description: partial 16S ribosomal RNA
Rfam family: Bacterial small subunit ribosomal RNA
Source: RNAcentral
UACGUAGGGGGCUAGCGUUGUCCGGAAUCAUUGGGCGUAAAGAGCGCGUAGGCGGCCAGAUAAGUCCGGCGUGAAAGUCAAAGGCUCAACCUUUGAAUGCCGCUGGAAACUGUCUGGCUAGAGUCCGGGAGGGGCGAGUGGAAUUCCUGGUGUAGCGGUGAAAUGCGCAGAUAUCAGGAGGAACACCAAUUGCGAAGGCAGCUCGCUGGGACGUUACUGACGCUGAGACGCGAAAGCGUGGGGAGCAAACAGG